UACCUAUGGGGCAAGCGUUAUCCGGAUUUACUGGGUGUAAAGGGAGCGUAGGCGGCGGGGCAAGCCUGAUGUGAAAGCCCGGGGCUCAACCCCGGGACUGCAUUGGGAACUGCCCUGCUGGAGUGCCGGAGGGGCAGGCGGAAUUCCUAGUGUAGCGGUGAAAUGCGUAGAUAUUAGGAGGAACACCAGUGGCGAAGGCGGCCUGCUGGACGGUGACUGACGCUGAGGCUCGAAAGCGUGGGGAGCAAACAGG
Molecule: ribosomal RNA, 253 nt
Filed under: uncultured bacterium
Lineage: Bacteria
Description: partial 16S ribosomal RNA
Rfam family: Bacterial small subunit ribosomal RNA
Source: RNAcentral